UAAUUAAAUCAAUAUUUAUUUAAUGAAUUCAAAGAAUAUAUUGUUAUGUUUUCAUUCUUUUCAUGUUUAUGGCCUACGUGCAUAAGAUGUACUGGUUCGCCGAGUACCCAUUCUUGUUUGAAAAAGAAAUACAUAUAUAUUCUUUGCACGUAGAAAAGAACAUAUAUAUAGCGUAUACACUUGGGCCAUGCUACGUCAGAAAUACCUCUUUUAUAUUAUAAUAUUGUGUUGCUUGCACAAUAAACCGCCAGCAAAUUGAUAUGAGAACAAGAAAAACGGACGAUCCUUUCAAAAUCCUGAUUAG
Molecule: long non-coding RNA, 304 nt
Filed under: Elaeis guineensis (African oil palm)
Lineage: Eukaryota; Viridiplantae; Streptophyta; Magnoliopsida; Arecales; Arecaceae
Description: long non-coding RNA (EGUI_LNC068902)
Source: RNAcentral